This is a non-coding RNA of Blastosporella zonata, 85 nucleotides long. Lineage: Eukaryota; Fungi; Basidiomycota; Agaricomycetes; Agaricales; Lyophyllaceae. The record is from the annotation of a GenBank genome assembly.
GGCCUGAUGGUCUAGUAGUAUGAUUCCUUGUUAGGGCGAACGCGUCAUUUCGAGGAGGUCCUGGGUUCAAUUCCCAGUUAGGCCC